ACUCACCCCUAGAAGGCUGCAGGAGUGGCUGCUGUGUCGCAUGUGCGUCAGUAGGUGGCAGAGAGGUGAGAGGCUGUGUCUGUGCUCAGUGUUCUGACCUCUGAAGGUCUAAAUGAUUAGUAGCCUAACAUU
Small nucleolar RNA from Meriones unguiculatus (Mongolian gerbil), 132 nucleotides. The record is from Ensembl. Lineage: Eukaryota; Metazoa; Chordata; Mammalia; Rodentia; Muridae.